GGAGGGAGGGAGGGAAAGGGGGAGAAGAGCGGGGAAGGAGGUGGCGAGCUGGGGACGAAAUCCUGCUCUCGGUUAUGGCCGGCGUAAAUUUCCAUUGGCUGGGGUUGCACAAGGUGCUCGGAGAGGAGUCGGUGCAGGAUGGAGACCCUUUUGUGUGUGCGUGCCGGGGAGGGGGUGGGGGGUGCGGGUGUGCACGGGGCUCGGGGACCCUCCUCUCCCCGGGAAAAAAAAAAAAAAAAAAAAAAAAAAAAAAGGAAAGGAAAGGAAAAAAAAUGGGUUUUUCUCCAGGUUUGCCUUCGAAAAAAGCCCGGCCCGCGGCUGCCAGGGGAGAGGGCGGCCGGGGCUGACAGCCUGGGGCUCGCUCUGGCUCCCGGCUGGCCCCAGCUGAUGCAGGGGCUGGGAGCGGGCCGCAGCUCGCAGCCCCCCCGGCCCCCCCCCCGGCUUUAAUAACGCCGCUGAUAAUUAUAAUUAUAAUAACAACGGCGGCGGCGGCGGGAGCGCGGAGGGAGGAGGGCGGCAGGCGAGGAGCUGCGGAGGAAUUCGGUUCCUUUUCCUUUUUCCCCCCUUUUCUUUUCCUUGAUAUAUUCCCCCCUUUUUUUUUUCCCCUUAAAAAAAAAAAAAAUGUUUUAAAAAUGCAAGCGGCUUGCCCAGCUGCACACACCCACCCCUCGCCUCCCUCCCCCGGCUUGCGCACACCGCACGCUCGCACUCGCUCGCUCGCCCGCGCUCGCUCGGGUGUCAAAACCCGGCGGGCACCCAGCCUGGUCCCGGCUCUGCCCUCCCUUACCCCUGCCCUUACCCCUGCCCCUGCCCCUUGCCCCUGCCCCUGCCCGCCCGGGGGCCCGCCCGCCCCCCGCCGCCGGGGCUUUUCCCCCCCAGCUCUCGGCGCUGAAGACUGGAGCCUCCCCCGCUUCCAAGUGCACAGAGUACCCUGAGAGCGUAACAGUAACAGCUCGGUACAUUGGUGCUUGACCUCAGCUGAAAUCCCAGCAUGCCUCAUGCUUCCAAGUUUAAAACUGAACGAUUAAUCUUAGAAAUGUGCUCCGUGGGUUAAAAAAA
Long non-coding RNA from Oxyura jamaicensis (ruddy duck), 1059 nucleotides. RefSeq lists it as uncharacterized. The record is from RefSeq and is a predicted model, not a curated record. The transcript has 2 exons. Lineage: Eukaryota; Metazoa; Chordata; Aves; Anseriformes; Anatidae.